Molecule: ribosomal RNA, 19 nt
Filed under: Castelnavia monandra
Lineage: Eukaryota; Viridiplantae; Streptophyta; Magnoliopsida; Malpighiales; Podostemaceae
Also listed under: 1 other name
Description: partial 26S ribosomal RNA
Source: RNAcentral
UGACCCCAGGUCAGGCGGG